CCUCCUUCAUAAGCCUCGAGGCACUGCAUCCAACAGGCUCCUCUCUCUCUCUCCUUCAGCAACACCGUACCAACAGCACUGCAUGGCAAAAGGGAGAGUCUCCUGAACGUGUGCUGCAAGAGCGUCUUCUUUCUGCCUCCGGAGUCGGACAUGCCAGAGACAGAAAGAGCGCUCUACGCCAAGGUAUGUGCUGGGUGAGGUACCGGCACCCCCAGUCCUGCUGAGCUGCUGCCUUGCUUCCCCGUGCUGACACAACCAGAGACCAGUGCAGGGCCGGGGCCCAGAUUUGCUUUCCCAGCCUCACCCUUUCCCCUUCCCGGGCAUGAUCCCGUGCUGUAGGAUGUCUGCACGCAGCGGCUUUUUAGCCCCAAAGCCACCCCUGAACUCCAGAGGGGCUCAGAGCCAGCUCCUGAGGGUGAGGAGGGCCACAGAAAUAAUUCGAUGCUCUUCUGUCCUCCCUGCAGACUAUGGAUGCCUUGGACACCAUGCUGGAGGGCUUCGUACUCAGCUGUCCCAUCACCAGUUUCAACACAGAGAUGCAGAAUAUGUUGAAGGUUUGGCAUUUGCAAAGAAUUUCCAAAGAAUCCUCUCAGGUCACAUUUGCAGACCACUGUCAACCCAGCAACUUCUCUCCUCGCAGGUGAUGCUGGACUUUGCUGGCUCCAAAAACUCAACUGUGCGCGAGAGAGCUGUGAGGAGGAUUGAGAGGCUGAUUACUUUCAUCCGCUGGUAUUUGGUGACCAAGAUCUUAGAGAACUUUGAAAUCUAUAGCGAAGAUGAGCCCAAAGAUUUCAACCUGUGCAUCCCCAUCCUGGGCAAGCUGCUGGGCCACCUCUUGCUUUUCAGCAGUGGCGAUGAUUCCAUGGGACACGCAGCUUUGAAAAGUCUUUUUCACAUGUACACAGUCGUCACAGAAGGAAGAGGUAAGAAGGUGUGGUGGGCAAUGUCCAUCUGCACACAGACAUCUGCUGGUUUGUCUACCUGUUCUCCCCGAGUAUUGUGAAGGAUUGUUUUUGUGCUUGGUGGAGGCUGCCCACAGAAUUCUGCCAGGUUCCCUGACCUCCUCUGCUCCUCACAGCAGCUUCCCGCAGCAUUCUGGCUAUCGUUUUCCGCAGAAGCUAGACACUCACCUGAUGUCCAGGAGCAGUUCUCUGCUGCUGUCCUUCCCAACCCUCCCCAGAUCACCUACCACACUAUUUUGUGGUCUCCCCCAGUCUAAGCCAUCAAUCGAUGAGCACUUCCCAAACCACAUCUUCCCUGAGGAGUGAACAGCAGAGCCAGCCGUGCAUCACCAGGGAUGGUGACGCCCUCCAGAAUGCUCCCUGACUGUUUGCUCCCUGCCGUCUUAAAGGCAGGUGUCAGUGGGCUUCCUGCACAUCCUGACCCCGAG
Molecule: long non-coding RNA, 1390 nt
Filed under: Anas platyrhynchos platyrhynchos (common mallard)
Lineage: Eukaryota; Metazoa; Chordata; Aves; Anseriformes; Anatidae
Description: lncRNA (ENSAPLG00000023689.1)
Source: RNAcentral